GUGGGUAUAGUUCAGUGGUAGAGUGCAUGCUUAGCAUGCACAAGGUCUUGGGUUCAACCCCCAAUGCCUCUA
RNAcentral lists this transfer RNA (72 nucleotides) under Camelus ferus (Wild Bactrian camel). It matches the Rfam family "tRNA". From Rfam's summary of the family: Transfer RNA (tRNA) molecules are approximately 80 nucleotides in length. Their secondary structure includes four short double-helical elements and three loops (D, anti-codon, and T loops). Lineage: Eukaryota; Metazoa; Chordata; Mammalia; Artiodactyla; Camelidae. The record is from Rfam by way of RNAcentral.